Molecule: ribosomal RNA, 117 nt
Filed under: Deltaproteobacteria bacterium
Lineage: Bacteria; Pseudomonadati; Myxococcota; Myxococcia
Source: RNAcentral
AUCGGUGGCAAUAGCGGAGGGGAAACACCCGUACCCAUUCCGAACACGGAAGUUAAGCCCUCCAGCGCUGAUGGUACUGCAGGGGCGACCCUGUGGGAGAGUAGGUCGCCGCCGGUU